Molecule: long non-coding RNA, 20677 nt
Organism: Gasterosteus aculeatus aculeatus (three-spined stickleback)
Lineage: Eukaryota; Metazoa; Chordata; Actinopteri; Perciformes; Gasterosteidae
Source: Ensembl
CCCCGGGGAAGACCCAGGACUAGGUGGAGAGAUUAUAUCUCUGCACUGGCCUGGGAACGCCUUGGGAUCCCCCAGUCAGAGCUGGUAGAUGUGGCCCGGGAAAGGGAAGUUUGGGGUCCCCUGCUGGAGCUGUUGCCCCCGCGACCCGACCCCGGAUAAGCGGUUGAAGAUGGAUGGAUGGAUGGAUGCUUUUUCCCCCCCACAUUUUUAGGAUCGUUAGAAUGUUUUUGCAUCUAGGACCGCAGAGAGCCUUCGCAUCUUCCACCGCAAACUAAAGACACACCUCUUCAGACUCCACCUCGACUAAAAGACUAACAAAUUGUAGCACUUAAAUUGUAUUUUUAACGCCACUCAUCUAUAGCAAAUUGUAAAUUGGCUUGUUUGAUAAAAUUGCACUUUCUCGUUUCUUGCUCUUCUGAGUUUGUACCCCUAUGGUCGAAUGCACUUAUUGUAAGUCGCUUUGGAUAAAAACGUCAGACAUGUAAUGUAAUGUAAUCUAAUUUUGCUGGAUAAAAGCACAUUAAGGUGUACUCAGGGGUGCCCACACCUUUUCGGCUCAUAAGCUACUUUUCAACCGGCCAUUCCUCACAUUCUUGGUCAUUACCUUACUCUGAUAAAUACCAUACUCGGACAAAUAUUGUUUUAUGAAUUACUUUUGGCUUUAAAGAUAGUUGACACAUGCAACCACGGUAAAAGGUAGCAUCAAAGCCAGCUCUAAUCAACACAAUUUUACCAUCAUUUAUUCAACAUUCCUGUUAACAUUUGUGGGAAUACGAGUCAUGUCUGAACAGUGGGACACAUUUAAGUGAGAGCUUCUGCCGUUGAGGUUUAUUUCCUCUAAUAUCACUAUUUUAGUCGCAGAGAAGAUGCUACAGCUACGGUCAUACAAUGAUUGACACCGGUUUCAUGUCAUGUGGACAAAUACAGUAGACUCAAUGUAGUGAUGCUAAGGAAUAGGAACACACACGCACUCACACACACAGACCUUUGUGUAACCCUCAAAUAGUGUCCUUGCCCUCAGCUAACACUGGCUAAUGUGUUGCACUUGGAGGUGGGGAAAUCUGGUCAUAGUUGCUGGCACUUGCCUUGGGUGAUUCACACAAAAACACACACAGGCGGACACACAAAAACACAUCGGGACAAAUGUGCAAAGUUGUCCCUGAGGGUGUGACAAGAGGACAGUGAAUCAAAGGACGCUGAGAAACGGUCAUCUCUGACAGAUUGACUCAGACAGUCCUUUUCCUCCUCUUUGCUGCAACCGCUCAGUGAAUAACCUUCAUGUCACACUGCUGCAUGUGCAAUAUGCUGUUGUGGUUGUUAAAACGAGUUCACAAGAUGCACUCUGCAUCAACGUUGCACCUGUAAAUCCAGACUCCCUCUAUACUGCCGCAAAGUUGAAUGACUUUCUUGUACUUCAUGAUGUCCUUAGUUUGGACUUUUUCCUCUCGCUGGUCUGUAUGUCAAAAUGUGAUAUUUGAUUAUUGUAGAUCCAUCACAUCCUCACCCAUUGACCUUCAGGUGUACAGCAGAGAAUGAUACUGCUUAGCUGUGUGUGUGUGUGUGUGUGUGUGGGCUGAUAGGAAUGGUCCCAUUUGUCCUGGAAUCCAAUUAUUUUCUUCCUUUGAAUAAUUGUGUAAUGUUGGUUAAGGUCAAAGCUAGACAACUCAGAUUCAUCAUGACUCUUUUUACCUUUAAGUGUACACGCACAGCAUCGUCUUUACAAAUAAUAACUGAAGGUAGACAAUUAAAAAAUAAACGGUAAACAUGCAAAUAACUCUUUAAAGCUGUCAUUUGGAGUCCUUGAAAACACGCUGAGAUUCACUUGAUGGAAGUAAAACUACAUUCUAUGCACACACACACACACACACACACACACACACACACACACACACACACUCACAUACACACUCACUCUCAUAAAGAAUUGGCAAACCAAUUUUCUGGCUAUAGGUAUAUAUUUUCCAUCUGUUUAUUGUGGAACAAACAUUUGAAAAGGGAAGGGAAAUGCUCCGGGGAGUUCAGUUUGCCAUUCAUGUGUCCUAUCUGUGAGAAUUAGGAGCUGAAAGUCAUGGUGUAGAUACCCCCCCCCCCCCUCUGCACAUCACCCCCACCCCUUUAUCCAAAUGUGUAGAAAGAGGCAAGGUGGUGCACACAUCAGCAGUUUAGAGAAUCUCUGCAUGCACUGAAAAAUAGGAGGACCUGAGGGAAAAGGUCAAAGCAAUAUAAAUUUGACAUGUAGAUAGGAAGGCCUUUUCUCACCUUCAGGGAGUCUACAGUUGUGCACAUUACACAAGGCUGUGUGCUGUGUGCAAAAUGCUCUUUCUUCCUUCUGAGCAUGAACCUGUUUUAUAUUCUGUGCAUGUACACAAACUUUGGCUGCAUUUCAAUGACAUCUCACUUAACGUAAUAAACUCAAAAUGUCUGUUAAGACACAAUAGUCGAAGGAGGUGAUACGAUGGUGAAUAUAUUUUAAUAUUUAUAUGUUGAAAGUGUUGCGAACGGGGAGCUUUGUGGAAAAAUAUAUAAUAAUAUGGUUCUCUUAUUGCAUGCACAACACAUUUUACUACACAACUGCACAAAUCUUCAUGUAUUUCAUGUAUCAUGUAUUGACACUUAAAGACUCCAGACUACUAUACUUUUGGCACAUUUCCUUUGUUUUCACUAAAAUAGCUAAUUACCAGAAUUCUAAAAGUAACUUUGCACCUUGCUCUGAAGUGAUGUUUUGCACGUGUGCUUUACUGCACCUUCAGCCAUAUCCAAGAGUAUAUGUCAAGGGCUCCUGCAGGACGAUAAUCACUGCAUCAAAACUAAGCCUGAACUCAGAUUAUGUGCAGAAAAUUAAACAAGAACGGAGCAUAAACUAAAACUGGCAUGAAGAGUGUCGACAGGAGGGGAGCAAAUGUUAAGAAAAUGUUAUUAUUACACUUAUUAUAGGAAGGAACUGCUCUAUUAAAAUGCAGCUGCAUCAGAGCACUUUGAGGACAGUUUCGUUCUACAUAAGCUCAAGUAGUUUAUCAUUAUUUGUGUUAAAGGUGAAAAAAUUCUGUUAGUACUUAAUUAGUUCAUAAAUAAUAUGGAUGAAACGUAUCCAAUUUGAACAGCAGCACCAAAAUAUACUUUUGUGGGUGACAAUAUAUUAUUAAGACUUUAGGAUUGCUGAUUGAUCUUGGAGAUAAAACUAGACAAAACACCUGACUACAAAGUCAAUGCAGUGGCUGUUGGGGUGUUGGGGCCUUAACCUCAGAGUAAGUAGGCAGUACGGACUCUGUCACCCUCCUCACUCCACUCGUCAGUCACUCCCUCCUCAUCAGUCGCAACUGCCUUCACCUGCUCACUCACCGGCCUCUGACCCCACACCACGCGCAGUGCCAGAUGUUUCUUUGGUUUUCCAGGCCAGACUAUCCAGCGCUCUCCCACGGACUGAUCUCCUGCCCGUCCCCGUUCUUCCCGCCUUGCCUGACUCCCAGUAAGCCCACCAGUCGUCUUCUUCUUCUUCAGGCUCUUAUAACGAACCUACCGAACAGCAGGUAAAGACCCUCGGGAUCUUGUGUGUUGCAUUUGGGUCCUUAUUCAUUUGGUUACCGGCCUGCGUUGUAGAACCAGAACAAUUCCCGUCUCACUCACUUCUUCACACGUUGUUUUUAUAGCAAAGUGUUUCAUGGUGUGGACAGCGGACGCGGGCCCAUGUCUAUGCUCCUCCUGCUCAUCGCUCACGUCACAUGUGUGAGAACAAUCUGGUGCACAGUUUCAAUUUUUGCUUUCUGACCAGUCUGAAUGAUGAAUUGCUUCCUCUAAAGAGGAUUUCAUGCAGGCAUUUUUAUAAUAUUAAUUAUUUUGAUACUAUCCAUAAAAUACUUAAAUUAUAGCAACACUUGGUGUGAAAGAUAUUUUAGUGGAAGGAACCAUUAAGAGUUGGAGGGGAUGGAGAAAAAGUAAAAAAUCCAAAAUAUUAAUAUCUCAGAAUCAAGUAAAACUCAAACAGACACACCGAAGUGUCGGCGUACACAUGCCAGGCUGAGAUACACCCCUCAUUUGUACACUCUCAUACACUGCUGGUGGCAAAAUAUCCAUUCACACAUUCCCUCUGACAGGGAGAUUUUAAUGGGAAGCGGCAGCCUCCCCCGGGCGCCAAUCAAUCAGCAUGUCCUCACGCUCUAAGACAGCCUUCGUGUGGGACAGAGUCGCUGGGGAAGUCCAGCUUCAUCACUGACGUUGUGUGUGAACAGUCUUUGCGUAAGCCGCGGCGCUUAUUGUUGUGAUCAAACCCUUUUUAAAUCGAGAGAAAACCAGAUUGAAAGGCAAACUUUUGCAGAACACAGGAUGGUAUUUCUCUUCAUCAGUCUGUCUCCAACUUUCUGACUCUCGCUCCCCGUCUUCCUUGUCUCUACGACACACAGAACGGGCGAAUGAAACUGAAUUCUGGGCGACGUAUAUGGAAAGAUUCAUCAUGUGUAUAAAAUGACUUUAAUGUAGCGAGGGGAAAAAAGUGACUGAAAGAGGGCUUGAAGUGUGAACCUUGUAACUGAUAAUGUGACGGACAGACACAAGAAAGAAAACAUCUUUGGUCUACUGUUUUAUUUCUCACGAUAUUUGAGGAAGAAACUUGUUUCUUUUUUUUAUCCUUCAAUCCAUAUUUGUUUAGUUUCUACUCUGCCUAUUGCAAUAAGGUACGAGAGGCAGUACAGUAUUGUGAAUAAUGUUAUAGUUCAAGUUGUAUUUAGCCCUGAUGUGUAUCGGAGGGCCAGCAAACCCCUGAACUGUAAGUGAACGUUGCACCAGCUAGUGAAGCGGUUAAUUGCCCACUUUGUUUUGCUGACUGUGUCUUUUCUUUGUUGGGCAACAUUUCAUAGGUCUCAAUUUCUUUCUUAUCUAUUGUAGCAUGACGCCCACCUGAAUUAUAUCACUCAUCAAAAGUGCUAACUGUUAAACUUGAAAUGACAAGGGUCGUGCAAAAUCUACAGUGCACAGUUCUGUGUGGCUCAAUACGAUAAACACCGUGACUCCUCGACCAAUCAGAAUGCUCCGAACACAUUUUACACUAAGUGACAGCUUUUGCAGUUGCACUCUCAGUCCCAGAGAAGGUGCUGGAGUCCACGAUGAUUGACACUGAGUUCAGGUCACAUGGACAAAUACACCCCGAGACUCACUCUCAACCAACCAAUCGGAAUGCUUGUUUUCAUCCACCCGUAUUAUAAUUAAGGUUACUAGUAUUGCCUCUUGUACCUUAUUGCUUAAUUACAAUAUGGGUAGAUGAAAUCAAGCAUUCUGAUUGGUAGACUGAGUCACGUGUAUUUUAUCGAGCCAUAAAGUACUGUUUACAUUGAACUAAAUAUACAAUUGAUUGCUAAUCUAUAUAGAUUUAUAUAUUUCUUUUGUUGGUGACACAACAGUAUUCCUUUGCACGUAUAAACAUCAAUCUUAGAAAACCGGGGUUGCCUCUGGAUCAAGUGUAGGACCAAAGAGCGUGUGUAUCGGGCAGGAAGCCCAAAGAUAAAUGGAACACGAUGAAGAUAGAUGAAGGUGAAAACAAAUGAUGUUUCUAUAACGCCUAAAAGACCGCUCAGAUACGUUCAGCAUUGUGCGUGUUACAUAUUCUCCAUCCUUGUGCUACUCCCCUUUCAUCAAUGCGCUCUUCCUUUCACCUCGCUAUCCACCCAUCUAUGUUUAAUCUAUCUGCUCUCAAGAACUUGCGCCUUCUCUUCUGCCCAUCCUUCCUCGCCAUCCACCCCUGCUUUGCCAUCAGGGGCAGUUCAGUUACUUUAUUUUAUCUCUCCCCCUGCAACCGUUGCUUUCAUCUCUUUUGGUUACCUUGCAUCCUGCUGUUUCUCACCUCCACUUCUAACCUGCUCACCACGCAGCCAUCCGUUCCUCUACUGCAGCCAGUUUCCGCUUCCUCUGUCCUCUGUCCCGAUCUUGUUCUCCUUUAUCGCCAGCCUCCGUCUGCCGCUUCCUGUCAGCUUUUUGUUUUUUAGUUUACUGCUUUCAUGGUGUGUAGCCUUCCCUUGGUCUUCAGUCCCUGCCACUAUUCCCCAAUCUUUCCAUCUCUGCCUCCUUUCCCCCUGUCCAACAGAUCUUUGUACACCUGAAAGCAGGGUGCCAUCUGCUCAACGGGUGUCUUCUUCUGCUUCACAUUUUUUCGUACAAUAUCCUGCUUCUUUUUUUUCCUGCCCUUUGCAGAAGGCUUUUCUUUGAAUGCAUUUGAAUGCAUCGGUAUCCUCUUCAGGGUACUCGCUUUGAGACAUUUAAAACAUUAUUUUAUCAUUUUCUUUUUCUGUUACUUAAAGGUCAUGUGAUGAUAAACACAUAUUCGAAUAAAGUGUUUAUCUUCUUUUUUUUUUUUUUAACUCUUAAAAAGAGGGUGUGCGUCGGGCCUAACAACACCCCCGAACUGUUACAUCAUUGCACGAUAACGUACAGCCUUUCGUACCUCAUUGCUUAAAGUUUAACUGGUACGAAUGCUUCUUUGCGAGGUCAGCUUGUUUCCCUGCAUCCCUGGAUGCUUUAGUUGGAACAUUUUUAGCAAUUACUAGAUAAUUGCUAGGCUUUUUCCUCUGUCUCUCGUCUGUUACUUUGUUGAAAUGUGACUUGUUGCCCAUUAUUGUUUGGGCACUAAAAUUGAAUUCACCCCAAUGGAGUUCCUCCUAAUUUACUGGAAGGAAAUGGUUUCGUUCUUGCAAAUACUUGUUUAACCCUUUCAUAACUCUCUUAAAUACCCAAAAGGUUGGGAGUGGCAGAACAACAAAUCUUUUGUUAAAUGGUACGUCUCUCGGUUUGUAGCCUUUCAGUCUGUUCUUGAGUUCUCACUUCAUGUCUCUCUUGCUCUCUUUGCGACAUGUGAAGGCCAUUUGUGUUAUGAGUCACCCGCUGCCUCCUGCUGAUUUACGGCCGUUCCCUGUGAAAGAGGUUGGAGGCUACGCGGGAACAAUCUCGCCAGGUACACUGCUGCGUCUUGGCACUCACUCGUGUGUGUGUGUGUGUGUGUGUGUGUGUCAUGCAUAUGCGAAGGUACAUGCUACUUUAACAGACGGCCUCUGUGUGGGAGACCAGUACAUCGCCCCAAUAGGGUGUUGUCACUUCAAAUGAUGGCAAGUGACUGACAAGAAGUCUGUGAGCUGUGUGCUUGUGUUUGUGUGUCUGAGAGCUAAGUGGGAGUUUGGCACUUGUGCGCUUUUUGCAGGAACAGAAACACCAACUCAUGUCCAGUUGUACAAGGACUUUAGGAUUAGAAGAGCUGCGCGUGUACUCUCGCUCUUGAAUGUCGAUUUUUGUAGGGAUGACGGACACCGGUGUCUCUUUAGGUCUUGGUCUUUGGGGAACGCACUGACGGACGCUCCUCAGCGGUGGAUAAGGACACAUCGUCCUGGUACCAGCAAGUAUGUGGCAGACGCAUUUCACGUUUCUGUCUUCCUGGGAUUUAUCAAUAGAUUUAUUGAAUAACUGAAUUACUAGGCAGAAGCUUUAAUGGUGUAAUCAUUACUUUAACUAGAAACACCUCAAGCCUGCAUGUUAAACUUUAAAUUUGUCAGUUUCUACCAAAUGAAGGAGGUUGUUUGAAGUUCAUGCGAUAUGUCGCAUCUCACUUAUCGACAUUUGGGGAUUGUGAUGUUGUUUAGAGUAUCAAUACACCAGAGAAGGAAGAGGGAUCAUUGGGCAAUGUGAACCAUGCUGUUUAAAAAAUAUGAGACAAACGUAGCUUCUAAGGAAGCCAGAAGGGUUGAGCUUUAAAGAACAAGAAGGGAAUGAAUAAAAAUCCUUUUUGAGGUACGUUUGAAACGAAUCAACCAGACGUCACAUGAGCUGAUCUCUACAUCUAACACGUUGUAUUGCAAGGCCAUACAGAGAUUACUUUUGCCGUUUCUUAAUUAGUCUCUUUACACCAACAUUCCUUUGUAAAGGCCCUGUCAUUUGAUUUCUAACUCAAAGCAUGGAUAAUAAGAAAAACUUGUGCUCAACUAGAAUACAUUUACUCAUCCUUUCACCCUCUGGUUUGGAUUUCUUUGAUUUCAGCACAUCGUCGCUAAAAACAAAUUAUCUUCCUCUGCACAGGUUUCCCUGUCUGACAGUCAGCAGGCGAUGGAUGUGCCCUCUUUCUGCGCUGCUGACUGAACGUCGAGUUUAAAUGAGUGUUUCAUUUUUCACAUACUGUGUAUAUAUAUAUAUUUUUUAUUCCUAUUAUACCCACGGAAAAGACCUGAAAAAGAUCACAAGACUUGUUUUAUCUUCUGGAAAUCUGAAAUCAGACAAACUUAUCACUUGGUUGUAACUUCUUAUCCAUAUUUCAGUGGCAUAUACUCUGACCUCAAGUUUGCAAAAUGUUUUUCCACUUUAAAUAAAUGGCAUACUGCUUGUUGCAUUGCAGUAGGGUUGCAUAUGAAUCGAGCAGGGCACGGGCGGGUGGGCUGCGUGACAAAAGGCACCAUAAUCUUUGCUAGAAAGGCCACAAAUGUCAGCGGACAUGUAACAUAACCAUGUCCUGGCUUGCUGGUACAUUAUUGUAUUUUCAAAGCUUUGGGUGGGCACACAGGUCCUGACAUUAAACAGGCUUUGGUUCGCUCGCCUCGGCGUUUCUUUCUCUCUCGCUCUCCUUUAGCCAGUUUCCCCUUUGUCCUCUCUACUGGUCAAGUUAAUAGGUCUUUAACCCUGUGUCAAUGAGCUACGGGCUUUGGUGUGCUCGCCCACACUAUGACAGGUCCCAUCCCAAUUAGGCUGAGAUGCAAGGCCAGGAGACGGCAUCAGUGUGUGUUUGUGUGUAAGCGAUCCUCAAAACAUCGCCCGAGGUGCCGCCAUUGUCGCUAAUGACAAAGAUAAUGGGAUACAGACGCAAACAGCCACAACCACGUACACAGUAAAUCAGCUCACCCUUCGCCCUCCCAAACACAGACAAUAAUUAUUUUACAUACAGAUUCCCACUGGGGGCUUGUGAAGAUAAUACAAUCAGGAGAUUAUUAGCAUCACCAAACUUGAAGCGAUUCAUUUGAUCAAGAGAUUGCCUAAUUUGAUACUGCACAAUUUCCAUUUGUGUUGUUAUUCUGAUGGACAAUAGCUUUUAAUGAUCCAUUUGUUUACAGCUGAGGAUGGUAAUGACCUCACACGAAACACAAAACCAGGCGGCCACAUGGAUUUUAUUCAUAAGGGCCCACAACUAAUCAACUAUCAUUCCGGGGAAGUUCAUUUAUUGCAUUCUUGUUUGCAUUUCCCCCAACAUCUUAAGGACCAUGAAGAUGAACCAGAUUACAGCAAUACAGGAUUCACUGUGUGCCUCGUGGACGGUUAAAAUAAGGGAAACUAAAAAACGACUGAACAGAUAUUUUGUAUGUUAUAAUACUCAAUCUUUUAACUUCAGCCAGAGGUGAAAGUGAAAAAGAAAUAUAGUGUGUACACUUCUUCUCCAACAGCACCACCAAAUCCAACUUAAACACGCCCCUCCCCCCCCCCCACCCCUGCAGAGAUGUGUUCAAAGGGGUCGGUGAUUUUAUGUGUGAAUUGUCUUUUUUAUUGGCCGUGUGGGAGAAAAAGGAGGUGAGCAGGGUGGUGGGGAAGAUAAGACGGCAUUAUCUGCUCCGCUCAUUCUCUCUUUCACCAGCGGGGGGGUUUGGAGCCUUACCUCUCCCUCCCUCUCUGUGGGUCACUUCCACAGUCUGAGGGAAACUGAUGGAUGUUACACAAACACUCAACGUGUCCCUCUGCUCUCACUUCCACAGACACUGGCCUAAACAUACAAGAUGCGUUGCAGAACCAAACAAGAAGCAGUGGUAAAAAGAAACCAAGGCAAAUGGAAAACGCAAAAGAAUACACAAGAUUUUACUAAAUAGAGCAUUAAUGGCAAAAAAAUUGACAAAAGUGCACAAAACCACUUCUAUUCAUCUCUCCGGACUUCCUUGGUAGUUUUGGAUGGUACCUGGUACCGUCUAGCUUCAAGCCCGUCCAGGGGCCUCAUGUACAAAGGGUGCGUACAGGACAAAAUAAUACAACGAGACAUAAAUACUUGUAUGGGUAAUUUAUUUAAGUUUAAACAUAUUUAACAACAUAUUACCUACACAAAAAUAAGUAAAUUAACUAACGGCCACGACCGCAGACUUCUCGCUCGCACACACGCGCUCUCUCUCUGCGCAAAGCGGUUUAAAUGAACUUUCUGCUAGCAGUUUAAGGUCGCGAUACUUGUCCCAAAUAUGUCAGGCGUCAUUCAGUGAUUGAAACUGAAAGUUUUACAGUGCUGACAUCGAACGCUCCGAGCGAGCUGUGCUGUAGACACGGAACUUCUUCUUGGCAAGAAACGGCAAAUAAUCAAAGCGGUGCAUGAAGCUGUUGUAGCCGAUCUAGUCUAUUUUAUUCAUGCAAUAUAGGCAGUACAGUCAGGCGCACGCUCCCCACUCCUCUUACGUUUGCUGCUUAUUCCUGAUGGUAGCGUGCCAAAGAGCACAUUUUUGCGUGCCUCCACUUUGGAAAGUAGUACUUCCAUCUCACUUUCGGGGAAGUUUUUUUUUUUUUUACCAUCUUACUCAUUCCUUUUUUCUAUCUUUUCUGAUCAUGCAGAGGGGGGAAUCGCAGGUGCAGGGCUCAUUUAAAUAUUAUUUGCAUAUUUGCGUGGACAGGGAGGAGUCGGGUACUCAGACAUGUGCGCUCAAUCCGCCAUGUUUCAGUAAGAAAUCCAUGCAAGUCUUUGUACAUGAGGCCCCAGAUGAGGCCCCAGAUGAGCAGAGCUCAUCAGAGUUAAAACAAUGCACACCAAUGAUACGUCUAUAGAGCCAAAUGGAACAUCCUGCAAGAACCAGGCCUUCUAAAUAGAAGGGCUGUCGCCAAUAGCAACUGCAAAUAAAUACAAAAUGGCCAUCCUACAUACCUCUGUUUUGGUCGCAGAGGAAAGGAUUUUGAAUGUGUAGCGCUGGAGAUGAUGAUCAGCUGAGACUACUGCAUACAAUGAGAAGCUAAUAUGCACGGAGGGGAUAUGGGUGAAAAUGACCAAAAGCGAGUUUAAUCAAGCAGAACCAUGCAGUGGAAACGAGGAAAAAUAGUGCAGAAUAGUGCAAAGGGAAGAUCCGGGGAUACAAAGAGACACGAUCUAAGGAAAGAAGGAAGGCAGUAGGAGGUAAGCAGGUGUUUCGGCUCAGCACCGGUCCUGGCCUUUAAUUUCUCUCCCAGCAGGGAAAAAGUUAUCAGCCUUUGUCUGAGAGCUUUUAUUAAUCAAGCCCAGUGCUGUUAUCGGUCACAUGUUUGACUUUACUUUAAAAGGAACACACCGAUCAUGGUCUUUUCAAGCAGGAGGAUUUUUAUGCGAUGAAAUUGUUGCAAUCAGUGUAACAUUUGCGAAGGAGGUACAACGUAUUUAUGUGGAAAUGCCAUCGAUUCAUGGCAAGACGCAAGGCUUUUGUUUUGUGUCCAGCAGCGUCGCAGUUUAAUUAGUUCUUUGAGGGAUUUUACAUUUCCAGUUAGAAUAAUGAUCACUUUCCAUAACUGCGUAUUGUAUUCUGUGGUACUUCAAUUAUGUUAUAUUGAAAAAGCUUACAUAGUCAUGUCAGAAACGUUCUUUUUAUCUCAGAUUCAUGAAGAGUCUGACAUUUAGCAAUUACAUAUUGUUUACCAAAGUGACCUUAAAUCAUGUUUAUUUUUAGAUGUCCUCUUUUCAGGUGGUUAGUGGGGGGGGGGAAACCUUGUUAAUUAAAAGAUAAUGACAUUAUGUUUCAUGAUUGGUCCACACCCCCACACUCAUUUGUACCAAACUUUCAAAUUGAAGUCCUCAAUAUAACCUUGAGCCCACAAAGCCUGUAUGUGAGCGCUCGCACCCAACAAACUGUCCUCUUCUCUGAGUCACUUACAGACACUUGAAUUUACCUUUUUUCUUUUUUAAAUGUAGCUGCAUUUGCUCAAUGGAAAUUAAAAUCUUCAGCUCCUUUUUGUCAUUUUUUUGUGACCAUUUUCGUCAAACAUGCAGCAGUAGAACAAACACGUAUUCAUUCUGGAAAAAAUGAAUUAAAUUGAUCACUAUUAAGUCUGUAUGUUGGUCUGUUUGAUUAGUUAAGCACACCGUUAAUUGCCACUAUUCAGAACUCCUAUCUUGAACUUUUUAGCUAUUCAUAUGGUAACUUUGGGUUGGAGUGAUUCAUUUGAUUGCUCUGCUAUAGUGUUUUUUUUUUUUUUUUUCAGAGGACUGAAUGAAUCAUUUUCCCUUUUGAGAAAGUACGGUACCCUGAGGGGAAUUUAAUGAAGUCAAAAUUCUAUUCACUAUAAAUACUGAUUUUUUUUUUAAAGUGGUUAUCAAUACAAUGCUGUUGUAUUUGAUUGCCAAAUUAGAUAUUCUGAGAGUAGACUGAUUGCACAGAGAAAUAUGUGCAUGAAUUCCUUUUAUUCGGGUAUGUUUUACAAUGCCAAUAGAGUUGUAUAUGUGCACAAAAUCAAAAUGAUCUACUCGACCGUAAAGGAUUGAGGGAUUGAAUUUGAUGAGCGUGUUUGUCUUUGCUCGCCCCAGAUUCAGAUUUUUCAACAUGUGAAAAACACCGUUGUUGUUGAGUGGCGAAAUUUAAAGGACAAAGAUGUGUUCCUCUGUUAGUGUUCACAGAAGAUAAAAGACAAAAUGAUGGGAAAUAGGUUUACUCUUUCUCUCAAACGGAUCCAUUUGGUUCCCAUUCACUGAGAACAUCAAUGUUUGUACAGACAGAAUCCGACAUCCUUUAAGAGGUUCACAAGUGUUUUGCAAUGAGAAAAGCAUACACGGAAAAUAAACGGAGAGCUGAAUAUCCAAAUGUUUUCCUGCUGUACGUGGAAUGACAUUUUAUUUCCACUCUGCCAGCUCGGAAGCGAAGAGGCGAUAAUGAGCGAGUAGUAGACGCACUGGGCAUCUGGAGCCAGCAUAUGGAUACCUCUGGUAAUGGUGAGCAGACAGACCAUAAUUCUGCAGCCUUUCGACAGUCUCUUAACAACAGCUGCGACCCAAUAAACAACGAUUGUUUUGAACUGCAACUGUUACUUAAUGAUGUAAGAGAAGAUAAAGUGAUAUAAUGACUGUUCAAGUUGUUUGGGAAUCUGUACUCUUGUGCCAUAAACAUACACACAGUUGAACCAAUUCCAUUAUGCACAUUACAAACUAUUAAUCUAUUACAAGAGAAGUGUACCUGCCUAUUUUAGGUUUGUUGACGGAUCAGUUACAAAAGUGUUAAGUUCUACAAUCAGUGAAAAAGCUUUAACGAUCUUAAUAAAGUCUUGGGAUUAUUAUUAACAAUUAUUCACUUGAUAUUUGAUGUGGAAUGAAGCUGUAACAGAAACCAUGGCGACCAGGCUCCACUGUCCCCUGUUGACUCUGACAUUUAUCAAAUCGUAAAUCCUGUGGUAUUCCUGGUUUAGCGGAUACUGCCAAGGAGGUCGUUACCCAACCUGCCUCGUGCCUCGCUGCCACAGCUCCACUGACAUAAUGUUUCUAUCAGAGCAGCGACACUGAAGUGCACGUACGAGUUUAUGACAGAGUCCUGCCAGCAGACAGCUUUAUGGCCUCUGUCAUGUCUGCUGCACCGUCGUAACUUAUGUCACGACUCUGCCAGCUUAAUGGGGCGUGCUGAUGUAUGGACUUCCGCACUUGCGCUCGAUAACCUAAGUGAUACUGUUCCUGUACGCUCGGAAUCCAGAGCAGCAUCUCGUGCUUUGGGCUGAGCACUACAUCUGCUCAUCGGUGGAGAAGAGCCUGUGACGCAGCUUUUCUCGGCACGGCCCGCUGUGUCCCGGUGGCAUUUUUUUUUUUUUUUUUAUGCUGGGAGACUCUUUUACAGCCACUUCCUCUGCUUUUCCGUGCCCUCUCCAGGCGUGUGCGUGGAUGUCCUCGUCUGCGCACGUUUGUGUGUGUGUGUGUGUGUGUGUGUGUGUGUGUGUGUGUGUGUGUGUGUGUGUAUCCUUGCUAUUUUAAAAUGUAGCUAUCUGUCUUGCCACAACUCCUUUCCUUCUCAUUAAAUCUGGGGGUAAGAUUUGCAUGUCCUCACCUUCAGUGAGGAAAUUAUUCAUGUGCUGAUGUGUUUUUCCGUUUGUUGGUGUGCGUGUGUGACACAGCAGAGGAAAAAGAGGCCGACACUAACAGCGCACAACUUAACAGCCUUUAAAAUCACUGCAUCGACGGCUUCGAGCUCGGCUCUACACAGUAACACAACCUUCUCUCGGUAAGGAUCUCAGUGAAACGUGGGUUCAGUUAUUUUAAUGGAAAUCACAAAUGCAUGUAAAAUAGGGCCGUUUUGAUCAUUGACAGCCACUCAUAUUGCAGGCACCUUGAAAAUCAACACUAAUGUGAGAGUUUCGUGAAGUAAAUAAUUGAUACUCAAGCUGGGUAGCAUGAUUAGGUCAAUUUGCUCCCAGUUGCCACUUGUACUGUUGCAUAUCAAAAAAAUAACUGCUUCUUUUUCUAAAUAUAAAAGUAUUUUGUUUGAAGGGUUGAAGCUAAUACAAAAUAAAAAUAUGUAGGUUUUUAAGAUAAUAUCAAACUAAAAUGUUUUUCUUCAAGGAAUUAUUCAGUGCAUAGGUUUUGCGACGAAAAAGGAGCUGAAAUGAUCGACUGCCAGAUUACGUCAAAAAGAUUCAAGCAUUGCACAACAGAGCCUCAAUAGUUCUCAGUCUUAUAAUACGUAGGUCUCCGAGUACGAUUUCGUUCUUGAUGUGCUUGUUGUGCAUAAAGUGAAAAGGACCGUGGGGACACACAACAGAAAUCGGCUGUCCCACAGUACGUGUCACCAGUACACGGUUCAGUACGUCACAGGACAACCAGGCGAUAUUCAGGCUUAACAAUGACUGGUGCGAUCCUUCUAGAAGCAAUCCGAUCUUAUUGCUGUAAGCAUAUAAAUAAUGUGAUACUUGUAACGUGUAAUACAGCACAAUGGCUGCAUGGUGAGAGGACCAAAUGUUUAGAUAUCACCUCAUGCACAAGCAACUUUAUUUUUGAGCCAGUGUUGUGCAAAUGAAACCUUUUGGUUUGAUUAUACAGUAUGAAGGCUGGAGAAAGACUGCUACUGCUAUGUCGUGGUAGGCAAAGACUGCUAUGUCGUGGGCGGGUGUGAACGCCUAAACUCAAACGUAGGUUUUCUUUGUUUGCCUGAACCGCUUCAAUUGUUUGUUAGAGUUAGUCUAGACUUAGUGUGUGUGUGUGUUAGGUAGUGGGGGGGGGGUUGUUAUUCUUUUUUCAACCCGUGCCAUUGCAUUCUAAUGUAAUUGGAUGGCCCUUGUUGGACGUUAUUAGUAAUAUCAUGCAGCAGUGUGUGUGCAGAGUUCUGUCCAGUGUUUCCCAAACAUUUUCUGGGGACCUAUUGAGAAAAAAUAACAAUCCAUCCCACACAAUCAUUCACCGCAGGUCUCUACUUUAAUUCAUGCAAAUAACAAUAUUGCAGUAAGGAGUUUCUGAAUAUUUAAACUACUAUUGUUGUGAACCAGCCUUUUCAAAGUGGGAUGGCUCACACCAGUUAUUUACAGCAACCAUAAAAUACUUUUGAAUUAAGAUGUAUGGACGAUGAGUGACAGUAAAACAAGUCAUAUAACUGCCUCAAAUAUUAAAAUGGAAAUACUGUACUGUUUAUCGGAGAAGGAAACCUAUUGUUAGGUUAAUAAUUACAUUUUUGUCGGUCAGUCACUCAGAGAGAAUCAUGUUUCCUCAUUUUCUGUUAUAAUGUGGGUGUUUCUUGUUGGUAUCUUUGGUGCUGUUCCCAGAAUAUCUCAUCACGUGUAUUAUCUGGCUUCAUUAAAUUCUUUUAAUUUAACGCGAAUCUUCAGACUUGCUCCUCUCUCACUGCCACUCAAUUUGUCUCGCUCUGCCUCACUCUCACGCGUUCACUCUCUCUUCUAAAUGUCUUUUUGUGUCUCCAUUUGCCUUGUUGUCUUUCUAUUCACAAAUCAAAAAGUAUGUUGUUGUUUAUUUAUUUUUUUAUUUCAUGCAUGACCAGUAAGAGGAAACCAAAUCACUAAAGGCCACGGUUUAAGCAAAAAUGCAGCAAGUACAUAAUCAGCAAGCCUUAAAUGUCAAGAGUGCGGAAAACUGGAGUCUGUGUAAACAGAAAGAUUAAAAAAACCCUGCACAAGGCAAUAAAAUACUUUCCUGUAGUAUGUGGAAAGUAUAUGAUGACUUUGAUUUAUUAUUAAAGUCCAGUUAAUACAUUUCAUAAAGCGAAAAAAACACAUUUGGAAAUAUAUUACCAUGCUAGAUUUUGUCACUGUUUUGCACUGUUCUGUCUUCUUGCUAUUUGGUAACUAAAUACUUCCAAUACACCAUCCAUAUGCUCAUUUUGUUCAAACUAUCAUAUCAAGUCAUAUUCUAACCUGCAAUGGAACCAAACUGCGGAUGAAUUUCAGGCUGUAGUUUUUGAUAUUAGUGAAACCAGUCAUCAAGCCCCUUAACUACAUGCGCACCACAAUUGCAUUACUGUGUGUGUGUGUGUGUGUGUGUGUGUGCGUGUGUGUGUGGCAAAAUGCACACUGACUAGAGGAUGAUGGGGCUGAGAAAAGCACAAACAAUAGAGCUUAUCAGACCGGUGAAGUGUGAAAGAAAGUAAUAAGCAGGGAGCCACAGAGAUGUGGGUUGCGUGCAGAGUGUUCGUAAGGGGGGCAAGCAAGGUGAUCCAGUUUGAGUAAGAGUAGGAGGGUAAAGGCAGGAGGUUGUGCCGCCCGGUGGCCUCCGAUGUCUUCAGAGAUGGCGAGCUGGAGCAGUGCAGGCUGUGCUCACUACGUCUCCAGGUCCAAAGGUAUGUUGGGUAGUCAGUCGCUGGCCUUGGUGCUGAGUUUUUAACUAAGGAGCUGAUGCCCUGAGAAAAGGUGUGAGUGUUGUUUCCGGUAAGAACCCCUUUCUUUAUUUUCCUCAUUGAUAUGAAUGAAUCCGCUAUUUAAUUAUACAGACGUAUAUUUAACAAGUCGUGUUUGGGACAUCGUCUUUGUUUUUGGAUAAUCCCCUUUAGCUUCACAGAUAUUUAAAACUUCCACAUCCAAACUUGUAUUAUAUAUAAUAUUCCGCCAUCCACUUCCCCACUUUGCCAACUUCUCUUACCUAUAACUGCAUCUAGGUCAGGUGGCACUUAGUCAGUCCCCUCAUGACUGUUAUUGCCGGGGGGAAAAAAAGUAGCUGAUCGCUGUCCUCAUUUCCCUCAACCGAUCACAUGGAAACAUCAGAGUGGAUGUGAGCAACGCUCUGCAGUAGGCAAAUAUAAAUGUAUAUAAAAGUAGUAGUCUAGUUAGUUGGAGACAUAUCUGGAUGCAGAGAGAUAAGGAUAAGGAGGAACAGAGGGGUGAUAAAUAGUGAUUUAAUAAUCAGAGUCCAAAAACAAACCAUAACCAACAGGGCAGAGAAGACUAUGGCCCUAACUGGUUUUAUAUCAAUUCAGUUGUAUGAUAACAAGAAGAACUACGACUGGCUCAAAGAAAUACAAAUAUUUCUGUCACAGUUCAGCUUCCCUCACUCACCUAACCAGCCCAUUCGGUGCACGUGUCAGUCACACCACCUCGUCAGCCCCGUGCCUCCCCCCUGCCGCGCUGCCGCACCGACUCUCCUCAGGAUUUAAACCGCUGUCUCAUUCACACUCGCUGCCAGAUCUUCCUCAGUGUUAUGCUAGACCUUCCCACAAUUCCUUCCUGCCAGAGCUCCCGUUGUCAACCCUGCCUGUUUCUUGGAUUCCCUCAACCCGUCCUUGUCCCUGUCCCGGUAACGAACCUUAGCCUCUUGUCCCCGACCACGAGUUUCCCCUGGGAGUCACUCGCAGGACUGUACUCAGCGUUGUGUUCUUGUGUGAAUAAAGGCUGGUUAAAGGAACGCAUCGUUGCUCUGUCGUACUGCUCCUUUGUUCCCACUGCACCCGUUCGCAAUUUCACCUCCGUUAUCAUGCUAAUAACGGUUUUCUUUUUUUCACUCAGUGAAAGUGAAACUAAAGCGACACAUUUAUUAAAAUUAUGUUUUAAAGUAAUUCCUUAGAAGCAGUAGAAAGAGGAGUUAUUCUAAUUACAGACCUUGUAAUGAACCACCUGCUAUGAGACCGUGUUGCUGAAGAAAAUACCUCCUGUUCUCUACAAACUGCACAAAUAUACGUGCAGUUAGGCAAACAUUACCCCCCCCCCCUCUAUAAAUGUGGAGGUGACAGUCGUCACUGUGACCAAUAUUCAUACAAAUGUUUCUGUUGUCAACGCAGAUAAACACAUCCACGCUUUCCAUUCAUCUCCACAAACACACUGAUCAGCUGCAUACAAAUUAGUCUGAAAUAAACCAAGUUGAUAAUUAAAGAGCAAAUGGCCAUCCAUGUCCACCAUAACCACCCACCCCACCGCUCCAGACCAAGACGCAUCCAACCUUUUAUCUCCAGAUGAUGAAUGGAGGGUGUGAAGGAUUCUGCCUUUGACAACGUUGCCAAUUUUCUCCUUCCACGGCUUUCAAAUUCUCUGAUAUUUUUUCUGAACUUUCAAUUCAUCAUCCUGGACACUGUCCACUCAACCGGCGGUGCCGAGCACAAAGGGCAGAUUCACUCUCACACAUGCACGGACACGCACACACAGGGAAUGGUUUUUGUAUGCGCACACGCACACAAAGGUUAACGUGAGUAGUAGGUGAAGCUACAUGAGUUUGACCGCCUCAUUUUGCCUGUAACGCUGGAAACCUGGAAAGAUUCUUUUACUUUUGGAUUCCUUUUGAUGUGUCUGACUGGAGGAUUAUUUUGGGGUUGUUUCAUGUGGGUAAAACAUUUUUGCAGAAAACAGCAGCUGUUUGGAAAGAGAUUGAGUUUCAAAUAUCACUCAGAUAAAGUAAAGCUAUUCCAUAAUUCAUUAUUUUUUGUUGCUAUCGUAGCCUGAAACUUUUUAGAGCUUAUUUUCUUUAUUAGCGCAGUCACAACUAAUUUAGACAAGACGUAACAAGCAGAAUUUACGAUUUAAAUUCUGUGUUUUUGUUAGUUGGAGAACUACUACAUUUUUAAUGCGAGUGUUUUAUGUGUGUGUGUGUGUGUGUGUGUUUGUGUGUGUGUUUGUGUGUGUGUGUGUGUGUGUGUGUGUGUAUACGGGGGUCCGGUGUGGCCUGCUGGAUGACUACUGAGUAUAAAAAAUGACAAAGAUAUAAAUUGCAUUUCUAUGAAAGUAGCUGCUAUUCCUAAAAAGUCCACUGGGCAUCACACCCUGUGAGUGAGCGCAUGUGUUGGACCAGGGGGAUCGACGACCCGAUCCCCGUGGUCCGGCCCGCGUGACAUCAAAGUGGACAGUAUGCGGCCCCCUACCCAAAAUGAGUUUGACACCCCUGGACUAAAUCUUACAAGUAAUGGGUAAUCACUUUAGAAAACACGUAUUUUAGACACUGUUGUUUCAUUUUUAAUGUUGUUUUAAACACAAAACUACACAUGUGAUCAUUUUGGAGGCAGAAUUCCACCAGGUGGAACAUGUUGCACUUGCAUACAAACAGAACCUUGCUGUUGCACACACACACAAUCGUGCGCAUGCACACACACAAGCACAGUUGGGACCCACUACCAUUUGCUGGCUUUGUGCUUUUAUCCUUGCCUACAGCAAUAUCAGUUUCACCAGCUGAGCUUUACAGGGAUGACAGUCCUACAGAAAUGUGCAUAUUUGGUUGUGUGUGCAUGUGUUUCUUUCUUGGCCUUUCCCUUCCUCUACAGUCAAGUAAACAAAGGCCUGUCUUCAAGGCUGCCAAAGCCCUUGUGAGGGAUGUUGCCCCAACUCUUGGCCAAAGCUCUCUCAAAGCCUCACAAUACUUUUGGAUAAAGACUGACCAACACAAAAAUAACUUCUGAAAUUCAAUUCUGCUGUACAUACAGACUUUUCAUAAUUUUCCCAUGUAGUGGCUACGAUGUUGAUAUGUCAUGGUAAAAGAUAAUUUUCAUAGUUAUCUACGCAUAUAGAAAUAAAAAUACACUAAAUACAGAUUUGGAGGUUUUGGGCAUCCCAUCACAGUUGAGUUUUUGGUCAACCGACCACUCUGAUGAACUAAAUCUUGAGAGAACCGGUUGGAAGGAGACGCUCAUGUUUACUUCAGCUCUCUGAUAUUUUGGGGUUUGAAGGUAGCGUACAUUCUGCUCGUCACUGCUUAUGUGCAACCGUUUAAAUUAUGACACAUAAAGAUAGCAUUCAUUGAUUUUAAGUGUUUUCUGUUUAGCUACAGUAUACCGAGCAGAAAAUAAAGUGACCAGGUCCACCAGGAUAACCAAAGAGUGUAAGAACACUUGAGACGGAACAGAAGAGUGUUGAAUUGAAGAGCAGAAACUGUGAGGCAGUCAUGGGAAAAGCUUUCUGUGUGUCGGCAGAUGGUUAGAUAAAGAGCACUUGGUUUAUUCAAGCUGCAUAAGAGGACUCCAGCUCAGGCUAUUAGACGCUCUGCCGAACAAUUCAGUAACCUGUGACUUUCAGAUAAAAGCACUCCAACAGUGUCAAAAUAAAAUCAUUGUUCAAACUGAUCAAAGAGUGUGACUGAGACAGAUCCAUCUGCAUAUCACUUCAUCAGAAUCAUCUUUAUUAACGUCAUUGGUCAUGUCUGCCUGUGAGAAUUUUAUUUGUUUAUUAGAGAUCGAGGAAAUACAAAAACGUAGUUGACAUCCCUUUCGUCAUUUUCUCUUUAUAAAUCAGGUGAGCAACACUACUAUGCUUCUUAAACACUGUUAUAUUAAAAUAAGUAUCUUUCAUUCCCUAUAAACAAUACCAGUCAAAGGUAUGUAUAUAUACGUAUAUAUAUAUAUAUAUAUAUAUA